GAACGUAUGGCUUAGUGGUCAGAGCGCUUGGACAAUUCCAAGAGGCGUGAGUUCACAUCCCACUAAGUUUU
This 71-nucleotide transfer RNA is filed under the name Heliconius melpomene (postman butterfly). Its description in RNAcentral is "tRNA HMEL010467". It matches the Rfam family "tRNA". Rfam says of the family: Transfer RNA (tRNA) molecules are approximately 80 nucleotides in length. Their secondary structure includes four short double-helical elements and three loops (D, anti-codon, and T loops). The record is from RNAcentral. Lineage: Eukaryota; Metazoa; Arthropoda; Insecta; Lepidoptera; Nymphalidae.